This 257-nucleotide ribosomal RNA is filed under the name uncultured bacterium. RNAcentral's name for it is "partial 16S ribosomal RNA". It matches the Rfam family "Bacterial small subunit ribosomal RNA", at positions 524 to 776 of the family's 1533-position model. The record is from RNAcentral.
UACAGAGGUCUCAAGCGUUUGUUCGGAGUUCAUUGGGCGUAAAGGGUGCGUAGGCGGCGCGGGUAAGUCGGGUGAUGAAAUCUCGGAGCUUAACUCCGAAACUGCAUUCGAUACUGCCGUGCUUGAGGACUGGAGAGGAGACUGGAAUUUACGGUGUAGCGGUGAAAUGCGUAGAUAUCGUAAGGAAGACCAGUGGCGAAGGCGGGUCUCUGGACAGUUCCUGACGCUGAGGCACGAAGGUCAGGGGAGCAAACAGG